RNAcentral lists this ribosomal RNA (1094 nucleotides) under Bacillus sp. HM6. RNAcentral's name for it is "partial 16S ribosomal RNA". It matches the Rfam family "Bacterial small subunit ribosomal RNA", at positions 41 to 1118 of the family's 1533-position model. The record is from RNAcentral. Lineage: Bacteria; Bacillati; Bacillota; Bacilli; Caryophanales; Bacillaceae.
GGGNUGCUAUAAUGCAGUCGAGCGGACAGAUGGGAGCUUGCUCCCUGAUGUUAGCGGCGGACGGGUGAGUAACACGUGGGUAACCUGCCUGUAAGACUGGGAUAACUCCGGGAAACCGGGGCUAAUACCGGAUGGUUGUUUGAACCGCAUGGUUCAGACAUAAAAGGUGGCUUCGGCUACCACUUACAGAUGGACCCGCGGCGCAUUAGCUAGUUGGUGAGGUAACGGCUCACCAAGGCGACGAUGCGUAGCCGACCUGAGAGGGUGAUCGGCCACACUGGGACUGAGACACGGCCCAGACUCCUACGGGAGGCAGCAGUAGGGAAUCUUCCGCAAUGGACGAAAGUCUGACGGAGCAACGCCGCGUGAGUGAUGAAGGUUUUCGGAUCGUAAAGCUCUGUUGUUAGGGAAGAACAAGUGCCGUUCAAAUAGGGCGGCACCUUGACGGUACCUAACCAGAAAGCCACGGCUAACUACGUGCCAGCAGCCGCGGUAAUACGUAGGUGGCAAGCGUUGUCCGGAAUUAUUGGGCGUAAAGGGCUCGCAGGCGGUUUCUUAAGUCUGAUGUGAAAGCCCCCGGCUCAACCGGGGAGGGUCAUUGGAAACUGGGGAACUUGAGUGCAGAAGAGGAGAGUGGAAUUCCACGUGUAGCGGUGAAAUGCGUAGAGAUGUGGAGGAACACCAGUGGCGAAGGCGACUCUCUGGUCUGUAACUGACGCUGAGGAGCGAAAGCGUGGGGAGCGAACAGGAUUAGAUACCCUGGUAGUCCACGCCGUAAACGAUGAGUGCUAAGUGUUAGGGGGUUUCCGCCCCUUAGUGCUGCAGCUAACGCAUUAAGCACUCCGCCUGGGGAGUACGGUCGCAAGACUGAAACUCAAAGGAAUUGACGGGGGCCCGCACAAGCGGUGGAGCAUGUGGUUUUAANUUCGAAGCAACGCGAAGAANCNUUACCAGGUCUUGACAUCCUCUGACAAUCCUAGAGAUAGGACGUCCCCUUUCGGGGGCAGANUGACAGNUGNNNCAUGNNNUCGUCAGCUCNUGUCGNGANAUGGUNGNNNNNCCCCGCAACGANCGCAACCCUUGAUUCNUUANUU